RNAcentral lists this long non-coding RNA (1345 nucleotides) under Setaria viridis. RNAcentral describes it as "long non-coding RNA (SVIR_LNC002298)". Lineage: Eukaryota; Viridiplantae; Streptophyta; Magnoliopsida; Poales; Poaceae. The record is from RNAcentral.
CACAUGAACUUCAGGCCCAAACACUAUAAGUACCAUCAGCAAGGAGCUACUUCUACAGUUUAAACAGUUUAAUUGAUGUUAGUAAUAUAUCGCUGAAUCAAUCAUCAAUAGUUAGCAAAAGCUUACAACACUAGAAUUUCCUGCUGAUACAAUUUAGUAUGUUUGCAAAUGGAUUGUAUUUGCUGGACAAUUUGUAACAAUAUAUUACCUAUACCUAGCUAAUCUAGUAAUCUACCCCUUUACCCGUCAAAAUAAGUAGUUUAGAUCUUUCCUUUUUUUUCUCUCAAUUGAUGAAAAUAUUUCCAGGAAUUUUCUUAUAUGGAUUCAUGUGGGAAUUGUAUUUGCUGGACAAUUUGUAACAAUAUAUUACCUAUACCUGCUAAUCUAGUAAUCUACCCCUUUACCGGUCAAAAUAAGUAGUUUAGAUCUUUCCUUUUUUUCUCUCAAUCGAUGAAAAUAUUUGCAGGAAUUUUCUUAUAUGGAUUCAUGUGGGAAUUUAUUGUCCUCAAAGCAAGCACAUUUAAUAUGUCCACUAAUUUAUAUAAAUGUGAUGGGUCCAUAGACCCAGGGUCCCCAACGGGACUACUUUCCCGCGACACUUAGCCUAAUGAAGGGCAUAACAACAAACGUACACUUGGGCCGGCCCAGCUACGCGCAUCUAGGCCGAGACCAUGAUCCGGCUGCCGACAGGAGGCCUGGUCGACGCCCCGACUAGAGGGAGCUAGCCGGGGGUGGGGCCACAGUUCAACCCCGACUGAGUGCUCCCAACAGAGUGCUCCUGACUGAGUACUCCCGACUAAGUGCUCCCGACUGAGUGUUCCUGACCUAAUCCCCCGACUGAGGACUCGCCGUACCACUUGCACUGAUCUCCCCGACCGGGAACGCCCGCCCGGAGUGGGCCCAGGGAGCAGGUGGGGCGGAUAAAUGAGGCAGUGCUCGGGUCAGCCAGCCGUACGCGGAGCCGUACCAUGCCACACCCUGCGCACGUCUGCACAGUGGUGUCGUAAACCUACCCGCUAUGGCGUAGUGGCUUGACGAGGAGAACAGGGACCGAGGACGGAAGUCAUACCGUAUCCACUGACGUGGGAUUCGACAAGACUAGGCAGUGCCCGUACACUCACUUUAUUAUCCCACCCCGACAUGUAAGGACCGUCACCUUGUACUAUAAAAGGGGAUGGACCCCACUGCUCCUACAGACACAAGAGACACCCUCUUACACUCUCACGCUCUCUCUCUCUCACACACACCCACACACACACUUAGCGCUAGCCUGAGCUCCUGCCACUCUCCUCCACUGAGACGAGAACAAGGCCAGGACUCAGGCGCCCUCCUCUCCUACUCCUCU